Molecule: long non-coding RNA, 732 nt
Filed under: Equus asinus (donkey)
Lineage: Eukaryota; Metazoa; Chordata; Mammalia; Perissodactyla; Equidae
Description: lncRNA (ENSEASG00005029140.1)
Source: RNAcentral
GCCCUGCCGGUGCCAUCCUGCAGGACCGCCCGGCGCGGCCGAGUCUGGGCCGGCGGCGGCUGGGAAGCCAGGAGCGUUCUUAUCGGGCCUCGGACGACUUUACAAGCUAUUUCAAUGCCAUAAAAGUUUAUAGCCCUGCUUUAACUAGGGAGACUACAGUCGUGUACCGGAAACAAUUAGGGAAUAAAAUGAGGGAUAAUUAAAUGCCAAAAUUUGGGCCGCAGGUUUCACAAGUGCUGUAGGAAUUCGGGUGGAGGUUGACACUGCAAACGCACGUGAUCGCAGUCUUUCUGGCUAGGGUAGCAGCUUUAUUAGUCUGUACUGGGGCACCAUAAUGCAGACAAGAAACACUUUGAAAUCUUUAAUGCUCCUGGUGAGAUGAGGAACAGCUCUGUGGCAUUGCCAGCGGAGGAUAUCCAGUCCUUCCACAAAACAUACAACCAAAAACAAGGAAGGAAGAAAAGCCAAAGCCUAGGCAAGCUCACUGACGCCGCUCUCUGGCUGCCUUCCGUGUCCUCCUCUCCAACGGGUGUUCCGGCCCUUUCUCGUGCUGGAGUGGCCAGAUCUACGACUUCAGUUUGAACUUGGGGAGAAGUAGGUGGGAUCUCUGGCUUGCUUUGGCAUGAGACCCAGUUAGUAACAGAGUCCUUCCAGCUUUAAGCUCAGCUCAGUAGACCUCUCUCUGUGUUUGGGGAGACUCUCCAGGUAAUAAUAAAGGAUUAUUUUACCGUG